GGAGGUGUAGCUCAGUGGUAGAGCUCUUGCCUGGCAUGUGUGAAGCACUGUGUUCAAUCCUCAGCAUCACAU
This 72-nucleotide transfer RNA is filed under the name Marmota marmota marmota (Alpine marmot). It matches the Rfam family "tRNA". From Rfam's summary of the family: Transfer RNA (tRNA) molecules are approximately 80 nucleotides in length. RNAcentral also lists the same sequence under 2 other names. The record is from Rfam by way of RNAcentral. Lineage: Eukaryota; Metazoa; Chordata; Mammalia; Rodentia; Sciuridae.